RNAcentral lists this ribosomal RNA (253 nucleotides) under uncultured bacterium. Its description in RNAcentral is "partial 16S ribosomal RNA". It matches the Rfam family "Bacterial small subunit ribosomal RNA", at positions 524 to 776 of the family's 1533-position model. The record is from RNAcentral.
UACAGAGGUCUCAAGCGUUGUUCGGAUUCAUUGGGCGUAAAGGGUGCGCAGGCGGCGGGGCAAGUCGGACGUGAAAUCCCGGGGCUUAACCCCGGAACUGCGUUCGAUACUGCCUUGCUUGAGGACUGGAGAGGAGACUGGAAUUCCUGGUGUAGCAGUGAAAUGCGUAGAUAUCAGGAGGAACGCCAUUGGCGAAGGCAGGUCUCUGGACAGUUCCUGACGCUCAUGCACGAAGGCCAGGGGAGCAAACGGG